This 494-nucleotide ribosomal RNA is filed under the name uncultured bacterium. Its description in RNAcentral is "partial 16S ribosomal RNA". It matches the Rfam family "Bacterial small subunit ribosomal RNA", at positions 28 to 507 of the family's 1533-position model. The record is from RNAcentral.
GACGAACGCUGGCGGCGUGCUUAACACAUGCAAGUCGAACGGUGAAGCGCCUUCCUUUUUGGUGGGUGUGGAUGAGUGGCGAACGGGUGAGUAACACGUGAGUAACCUGCCCCCUUCUUCUGGAUAACCGCAUGAAAGUGUGGCUAAUACGGGAUAUUCUGGGUCUGUCGCAUGAUGGGUCUGGGAAAGAUAUUGUUUCGGUGGGGGAUGGGCUCGCGGCCUAUCAGCUUGUUGGUGGGGUGAUGGCCUACCAAGGCGGUGACGGGGAGCCGGCCUGAGAGGGUGGACGGUCACACUGGGACUGAGACACGGCCCAGACUCCUACGGGAGGCAGCAGUGGGGAAUAGUGCACAAUGGGCGCAAGCCUGAUGCAGCGACGCCGCGUGAGGGAUGGAGGCCUUCGGGUUGUGAACCUCUUUCGCCAGUGAAGCAGGCCUGCCUCGUUUGUGGGUGGGUUGACGGUAGCUGGAUAAGAAGCGCCGGCUAACUACGUG